ACCGAUCUCCGAACCUUCGCCCAGUUCCGAUUACGACGGAGUGACUGAAGAUCCGGUUACAAGUAAUCUCUUUGCUUUCUUCUUACUCUUUUUUUCCUUUUUAGCACAUAAUCAAUGAAUAUUAUAACGAAAGAGAAUAACCAGAGAAAAUGAAAAAAUAACUUGGCAAUCACCUUUUGAAUAUUUUUCUUUAUUUCUGUAUUCAAUCUCUCUCUAUGUAAAAGAGCCCCCAUUUCAGUGUUACAAUUGGCUUUUUAUAGCCAAAAAUAAAAAAUACAGAAAAAUCCCGAAAAUUUUCUCUUUUCUGUUGCGUUUUCUGUCAUUGUUUGUCGCUAUGUGUUUGCUGCCUUUGUUGCUUUUGUUGCGUUGCAGGUAUGGGUACAGAAGUCGUAUGGAGGCCAGCUGGAGGCUCGUGGUGGCGCUACGUGCGUGAGGAGGCUACUGUUGUGGCGCGCACUAGGGCUGAAUGCUGCUAGGGUUUGCUGCUGUGUAUUCUGGUGUUGGGCCAUUUGGGCUGAGUUGAUUUGUUGGGCUUAGAAUCGGGUUUAGGUCGGGCUAGAUUAAUGGGUUGUUUAU
This 576-nucleotide long non-coding RNA is filed under the name Gossypium barbadense (sea-island cotton). Its description in RNAcentral is "long non-coding RNA (GBAR_LNC018025)". The record is from RNAcentral. Lineage: Eukaryota; Viridiplantae; Streptophyta; Magnoliopsida; Malvales; Malvaceae.